GUUUGUAACACCCAAAGCCGGUGGGGUAACCUUUUAGGAGCUAGCCGUCUAAGGUGGGACAGAUGAUUAGGGUGAAGUCGUAACAAGGUAGCCGUAGGAGAACCUGCGGCUGGAUCACCUCCUUUCUAAGGAAUAAUACGGAACCGCACACGAGUCAAAGUUUUGUUUAGUUUUGAGAGGUCUACUCUCACUUUUGUUCUUUGAAAACUGAAUAAUAUCUAUAAUUUUCUAAUUUUAAUUAAUCAUAAUUAAACCGAGAGAAAACCGCGUAAUUUAAAGAGUUAAACAAGAUUAGUUCAAAAUAAUCGCAAUACUCAAUUAAUCGCUUUACCGUAGGUAAAGUUAGGUUAAGUUAGGAAGGGCGCAUGGUGGAUGCCUUGGUACUAGGAGCCGAUGAAGGACGGGACUAACACCGAUAUGCCUCGGGGAGCUGUAAGUAAGCUUUGAUCCGGGGAUUUCCGAAUGGGGCAACCCAAUAGUUUUAAUCGACUAUUAUCCGCAUCUGAAUUCAUAGGAUGUGGAAGGUAA
Molecule: unclassified non-coding RNA, 528 nt
Filed under: Pediococcus acidilactici
Lineage: Bacteria; Bacillati; Bacillota; Bacilli; Lactobacillales; Lactobacillaceae
Description: partial contains 16S ribosomal RNA, 16S-23S intergenic spacer and 23S ribosomal RNA
Rfam family: Bacterial large subunit ribosomal RNA (bases 346-528)
Source: RNAcentral